AUUGAACGCUGGCGGCAGGCCUAACACAUGCAAGUCGAACGAGUGGCGGACGGGAGAGUAAUGUCUGGGAAAAUGCCUGAUGGAUGGGGAUAACUACUGGUAGCGGUAGCUAAUUACGCAUACAAUCAGAUGUGCCCAGAUGGGAUUAGCUAGUUGGUGGGGUAACGGCGCACCAAGGCGACGAUCCCUAGCUGGUCUGAGAGGAUGACCAGCCACACUGGAACUGAGACACGGUCCAGACUCCUACGGGAGGCAGCAGUGGGGAAUAUUGCACAAUGGGCGCAAGCCUGAUGCAGCCAUGCCGCGUGUAUGAAGAAGGCCUUCGGGUUGUAAAGUACUUUCAGCAGGGAGGCGUUACCCGCAGAAGAAGCACCGGCUAACUCCGUGCCAGCAGCCGCGGUAAUUC
This 406-nucleotide ribosomal RNA is filed under the name uncultured bacterium. RNAcentral describes it as "partial 16S ribosomal RNA". It matches the Rfam family "Bacterial small subunit ribosomal RNA", at positions 30 to 526 of the family's 1533-position model. The record is from RNAcentral.